This 116-nucleotide ribosomal RNA is filed under the name uncultured bacterium. RNAcentral describes it as "partial 16S ribosomal RNA". It matches the Rfam family "Bacterial small subunit ribosomal RNA", at positions 1369 to 1482 of the family's 1533-position model. The record is from RNAcentral.
CGUUCCCGGGCCUUGUACACACCGCCCGUCAAGCCAUGGAAGCCGGGAGUACCCGAAGUCACUUUGUCAACCCGCAAGGGAGACGGGUGCCUAAGGUAAAAUCGGUGACUGGGGCU